This 527-nucleotide ribosomal RNA is filed under the name uncultured bacterium. Its description in RNAcentral is "bacterial SSU rRNA". It matches the Rfam family "Bacterial small subunit ribosomal RNA", at positions 378 to 896 of the family's 1533-position model. The record is from RNAcentral.
CAACCCUGACCCAGCGACGCCGCGUGGGGGACGAAGGCUUUCGGGUCGUAAACCCCUGUUAGGUGGGACGAACAUCCUCAGUGAAGAGCUGGAGGAUUUGACGGUACCACCAGAGAAAGCCCCGGCUAACUCCGUGCCAGCAGCCGCGGUAAUACGGAGGGGGCGAGUGUUGUUCGGAAUUACUGGGCGUAAAGGGCGCGCAGGCGGCUUGGCAAGUCGAGUGUGAAAUCCCUUGGCUUAACUAAGGAAUGGCGCUCGAAACUACCUCGCUCGAGGGCGGGAGAGGGAAGUGGAACUCUCGGUGUAGGGGGUGAAAUCUGUAGAUAUCGAGUGGAACACCGGUGGCGAAGGCGGCUUCCUGGCCCGUACCUGACGCUGAGGCGCGAAAGCGUGGGGAGCAAACAGGAUUAGAUACCCUGGUAGUCCACGCCCUAAACGAUGGGCACUAGGUGUGGGCGGUAUUAAUCCCGCCUGUGCCGUAGCUAACGCAUUAAGUGCCCCGCCUGGGGAGUACGGUCGCAAGGCUG